UACGGAGGGUGCAAGCGUUAUCCGGAAUCACUGGGCGUAAAGGGUGCGUAGGCGGCGCUUUAAGUCAGGGGUGAAAUCCUGGAGCUCAACUCCAGAACUGCCUUUGAUACUGAGGAUCUUGAGUUCGGGAGAGGUGAGUGGAACUGCGAGUGUAGAGGUGAAAUUCGUAGAUAUUCGCAAGAACACCAGUGGCGAAGGCGGCUCACUGGCCCGAUACUGACGCUGAGGCACGAAAGCGUGGGGAGCAAACAGG
This 253-nucleotide ribosomal RNA is filed under the name uncultured bacterium. RNAcentral's name for it is "partial 16S ribosomal RNA". It matches the Rfam family "Bacterial small subunit ribosomal RNA", at positions 524 to 776 of the family's 1533-position model. The record is from RNAcentral.